AUCUGGCUUAGUUAGGAGGCAUACAUUGAUAGAGAUGUGAGGUUGAGAUUAUUCCUCUCUUCCUCUCAAUCUCUUCUCUGGCCUUUUUUAUUGGACUUUAAAGAUAUUCCAAUCUAUUGUCCUCCAAGAAGCCUUAGACAUUU
Molecule: small nucleolar RNA, 143 nt
Organism: Magnolia sinica
Lineage: Eukaryota; Viridiplantae; Streptophyta; Magnoliopsida; Magnoliales; Magnoliaceae
Product: small nucleolar RNA U19
Exons: 1
Source: RefSeq, a predicted model, not a curated record